CGUGCCUCGGCAUCAGCGUGC
This 21-nucleotide small nuclear RNA is filed under the name Arabidopsis thaliana (thale cress). Its description in RNAcentral is "snRNA_12321". The record is from RNAcentral. Lineage: Eukaryota; Viridiplantae; Streptophyta; Magnoliopsida; Brassicales; Brassicaceae.